AGUUCGAAUCGCUGCCGGUUCUCAAGUCGAGUUCUGCGCUGCACUUUUGUUUACUCUUGAUUUUGUCGUACUUUUUGAUUAAGUGCAUGGCGCAUAGCCGAUUGCCGAUUGCCGAGAAUCCGGGUAUCGGGGCUGAACGGCCGAAUCGAGCCAAGAAUGUCGUCGCAUUGAAAGAGGUCAAUCACCAGCGAUUGCGCCUUGGAUGUCACUCGGUGUAAUUGAGCGCAAUUUAUUUCAUUUGCUAACGAUUUUACGAUUUCGGAUUUAAUUAACUCCCGAAAAGCAGGAAGCCUAGUGGACCAGUUGACAGAGCUCGCCAGCCUCCAAAAUGGAACCCUAGUGUUAUACACAAUGAUUAUAC
Drosophila melanogaster (fruit fly) is the source of this 361-nucleotide non-coding RNA. Lineage: Eukaryota; Metazoa; Arthropoda; Insecta; Diptera; Drosophilidae. The record is from Ensembl.